ACCCUUUCGGUCGCCUUUCAAUUUGAACCUCUCUCUCUCUCUCGUUCUCGUCUCCGAUCGCUUCUCGGCGGUUGUGAUCGAGGAAGUAGUACCGCAUUACGUUGUAAGAGAAGAGGCGAGGGCUUCUUCUGCUUCUUGGCCUACUUCGAUCGACGGUGGGGGAUGGCUUCCGGGAGCUACAGGAACGGAGGCCCCAAACCGACCUCCAAGCUCGACCGCCUGCCCCCCUCCACUGCCUACUCCACGCCCAAGCCCUCCGCCAAGCCCAGGCCCUCCGCCGCUCCCGUCCCUCGUCGUGGCGGCUCCGUCGCUCCUGCCGCUGCCUCCGCCGGCAAAGCCGGCGGCGAUGCUGGAGUUCCUGGAAGAGUUAGAGUGGCUGUAAGACUUCGGCCUAGAAAUGCAGAGGAAACAAUAGCAGAUGCAGAUUUUGCGGACUGUGUUGAAUUGCAGCCUGAGCUUAAAAGGUUAAAGCUCCGCAAGAACAAUUGGGAGUCAGAAACCUAUGAAUUUGAUGAAGUGCUGACAGAAUUUGCCUCACAAAAACGUGUAUAUGAAGUUGUUGCAAAACCUGUUGUGGAGAGUGUUCUGGAAGGGUAUAAUGGUACAGUUAUGGCCUAUGGACAGACGGGUACUGGAAAGACUUAUACUCUUGGAAGGCUUGGUGAGGAAGACACUGCAGCACGAGGCAUUAUGGUCCGUGCAAUGGAAGACAUUUUGGCAGAUACAUCUCCAGAGACCGAUUCUGUUUCUGUAUCAUAUUUACAGUUAUACAUGGAAAGCAUACAGGACCUUCUUGUUCCUGCAAAUGACAACAUUGCCAUCAUAGAAGAUCCAAAGACAGGGGAUGUUUCACUACCAGGGGCUACCAGUGUAGAUAUUAGAGAUCAAAAAAGCUUUAUGGAGCUCUUAAGAUUAGGAGAAGUGCACCGUUUUGCUGCUAAUACAAAGCUGAACACCGAGUCAUCUCGGAGCCAUGCUAUUCUAAUUGUCCAUGUUAAGAGGUCACUUAAGGGAAGACAUGAUGCAGAUCAUGGUUUUCCCAGUGAGAAUGGUACUAAUUCCACCUUGGUCAAAUCUUUCAGACCGCCCAUAGUUAGAAAAAGCAAACUUGUUGUUGUGGAUCUUGCCGGUUCAGAGAGGAUUGAUAAGUCAGGAAGUGAGGGGCAUACUCUAGAAGAAGCAAAGUCGAUUAAUCUAUCAUUAAGUGCUUUAGGCAAAUGCAUUAAUGCACUUGCUGAAAAUAGUCCACAUGUUCCAGUUCGUGAUUCAAAGUUGACAAGACUGCUUCGAGAUUCAUUUGGAGGCAGUGCAAGAACUUCGUUAGUGGUGACUAUUGGUCCAUCUCCUCGCCAUAGAGGAGAAACUGCAAGCACCAUAAUGUUUGGACAAAGAGCAAUGAAGGUGGAGAACAUGGUGAAACUAAAGGAAGAAUUUGAUUAUAAAAGCUUGUGCAGGAGGCUUGAUAUUGAGCUUGAUAAGUUAAUGGCAGAGAAUGAAAGGCAAAGAAAAGAUUUUGAAGAUGAGAUUGAGAGAAUAAGGACAGAAGCUGACAGCCAAGUUGCUGAAGUUGAAAAAGGCUACAAUAACACUCUUGAGAAUGAGAGGCUAAAGUACCAACAAGACAAUAUGGACUCAAUCAAGAAGCUUGAGGAGAAGUGGAUGGCUAAUGUGAAUAGAGCCAGAGUAGAACAUCAGAAUGCGUGUCUAGAAAAGGCUCCAACAACAUCCAGCUCAGCUGAUAUUGUCGAAGUCAGACAGUCACUCGAGAAUGAAAAGAUAUUGCGACAAUCUACAGAAGAGGUGGUUAUGAACCUCAAAUGUGAAAUAUCACACUGGAAAAGAUUAGAGGCAGCUGGCAAUUCUGAAAUUGUGAAACUUCGCAAGAUGCUGGACAGUGAAGCCAAUCAGAAACAUAAACUUGAAGAAGAAAUAGCAAUACUGAGAAGUCAGUUGUUGCAGUUAAGUUUUCAAGCUGAUGAGACAAGUAGGAGUCUUGACAGAGGUGAGUCUGGAAAAGCCUUAACCGGAUUUGAUUCCCUUGUACCACAAGCUAGGCAUCCCCACCUUAGAGAUUCAGCAAAUGGACCGAAGGCCUCAAUUGCUAAACUUUUUGAACAAGUGGGUUUGCAAAAAAUAUUGUCAUUGCUUGAAUCAGAAGAUCAUGAUGUUCGAGUUCAUGCAGUGAAAGUUGUAGCAAACCUGGCAGCCGAAGAAGCAAACCAGGAUAAGAUUGUAGAAGCUGGUGGUCUUACGUCAUUGCUGAUGCUUCUAAGAAACUCAGAGGAUGAGACUAUACGUAGAGUAGCAGCUGGUGCAAUUGCCAACCUUGCGAUGAAUGAAACCAACCAAGAGCUCAUAAUGGCUCAAGGUGGCAUUGUCUUGUUAUCUAUGACUGCUGCUGAUGCUGAGGACCCUCAAACACUUCGAAUGGUUGCUGGAGCCAUUGCUAAUCUAUGUGGAAACGAUAAGCUACAGAUGAAGCUUAGUGUAGAAGGUGGCAUUAAAGCCUUGCUAGGUAUGGUUAGGUGUGGGCACCCUGAUGUUCUCGCACAAGUUGCACGUGGCAUUGCAAACUUUGCAAAAUGUGAGUCACGAGCUUCUACUCAAGGAAAUAAGGUGGGUGUAUCUCUCUUAAUUGAAGAUGGAGCUCUUCCAUGGAUCGUAAAAAAUGCCAACCAUGAUGCUUCACCUAUAAGACGCCACAUUGAGCUUGCACUGUGCCACUUGGCACAACAUGAAGUCAAUGCAAAAGAUAUGAUCAAUGAGGGAGCUUUGUGGGAACUGGUUCGCAUCUCACGUGAUUGUUCACGAGAGGAUAUUAGAAUGCUGGCACACAGAACUCUGAUCUCAAGUGCUACUCUCCGGACAGAAUUGAGACGAUUGCACAUUGAAUUUUAAGAUGCCAAAAGUAGCCUGCCAUCUGCACAGUAUCUUGGCUUAGGUGUAUCUGGUUGUUUGUGAGCUUCAUAUCUCAGAGCGUUUGUAAAAGAAGAUAACAAAGGUUUGCCUAGCAUCUGCUUAGUACAAAACCAGUGGCGCAUGGAAGUAAUUAUCAUCCUUCAGCCAAAAGAGGUCAAGUUUUUCCUGCCAUUGGUUGGUGUCUGUUCAAACUGGUUAUGACUUGAGACCCUAAAUUCGGAUCUGCCCACACUGCAAAUGUAUUUGUUGAAGGUACUGUGUGAUCAAGACACUACCAAGCUGUGGUCAAUGAGGUCAAGAAAAUCUAUCCAAGGUAUAUGCUCCUUUGACUUUGCAAAACCAAUGUAAUUGUCUGUUAGUGGGGCAUCAACUCCCAACAAAGUGCCCACGGAUAUUCCAAUCAGUAACUAAUAUUCUGUGGUAGGAUUAUCGGAGGCAUUGACAGAUCACACAGACAGGAGAAUUCAUUCAAUAUGAUAUUACAGGUUCAAACUGCAACAUGUAUGUUGGAAUGCCUUUAGGUUUUCACUCACUUUAUAAUUUUGGAUUGUUUAUUAUUGGCAGGAAGAUUUUCAAGUUUUCUUGUUGCAUUUUAAAGCUGUAAGGGCUAAAAAUUGGAUGAUAAAACUCUGCAUUCAAGUAUAUUUGUGACAAAUCUAAACUCUCUGUUUCUGAAGUAGCUGCAGGAGCAAUUGUUUGAUAUUUCCGUUUAUUUAAUUAAUAGUUCGACCAACAGUAUAUAGAAUUAGGUGGUAAGAGAUAUGUCCUGCUCUGUUUAGAUGAAAAAAAAAGGCAGGAACUUGGCAUCAGAAAUUUAUUAUGUAGUUCCACCGAUUCCUGCUCUCGAUUUACUUGUAUCAUCUUUUUGAAACAAAGCCUAUGUGACUUCCGAUGACAAGCAACCUGCCACCUUUUUAUGAGAGCUUACCCAACUUUCUCUCACUCUAUCCAGUUUGCUCAUGCUUGCUACUACCAGCCAUCACAUCUCACUCUUCGGUCCACUGCUCUGUUGCCGGAAAGCUGAAAAGGAGAUCUACAGCUGGUAGCUGCUUGAUUGGAAAGCAGCAGCAAAUCCUGAGAACAAAGGCUUACUAGAUUUGGUACAGAUCAUGGAAGUAUCAAAGCUUUUGGAGGUGCAUGGAUUUGGCUUCAUGCUUUUGCUCAAAGUUAUCUUAUGGUAGUGUUUUCCUGCUGUCUUAAAAUCUUUAGAAUGGUGCAGAUUUUAAAGCUUCUCAAAAUCUCAUUAGUAUACUGUACUUCUGUGGCGACCUCGGAGAUCUCUUGAUGGAUCAUAUGUCCAUUGUUGCCAUCCACAAGACCCAACUACGUACAGCAGCAGCAGCAAACAGUAUGGCACUGUUUCCCACUCAUCGAUGGCGGGCACCCAUCCAAGAGGUGUGGCCGUCCCCUUUCGGUACCACGAAGCACAGAUUACUCGCACAACCCGCAUGAGAACAUUUAAUUUGCUGCUGCUUGGAGUUGUCAUCUUUGGAAAGCUCAUGACAUGAGAACUUUCGCUGCUCUGGAGAGACAGAAAUGAUGACUGAGGAGGCCUCUGUUUUACCUUCCGUCACAGGACUUCAAUGCCCACGGUUCACCCUGUACAUUGCCAAUAUGACUUGUGUCAGUCCUAUAGCAUUGACAUCAGGUCAAGAACAACUGCAGAAUACAACAGCACUCUCUCUCUCUC
Molecule: RNA transcript, 4609 nt
Organism: Musa acuminata AAA Group (dessert banana)
Lineage: Eukaryota; Viridiplantae; Streptophyta; Magnoliopsida; Zingiberales; Musaceae
Gene name: kinesin-like protein KIN-UB
Exons: 21
Source: RefSeq, a predicted model, not a curated record